UACCUAGCCCUUUCUCACCAUUGUCCAAUCGAAUCUUAAAUGAAAAUCUAUUUACUCUUUCAUCCACCUCCGCCCUUAUAGCAGUAUGGCAAUUAAAGCAACCCAAAAUACAAUGAAGUCGUUAAUGAACAAAAUCUGAAGCCAUAAUAGUAGAGUGAUACCAAUACAAGAACAAAGAGAUAGUUGAUAUGAAGGAAAGCCUUAUGCUUACUUGGAAAGUGAGUGAGACGAUAUGAAGGAAUGACAAUGAUUACUUGAAGGUUGAGGAAUAUUUUUUGUAAAUGAUUGCCACGUGGUGUGACUAGCAACAAGCCAGCAUCCAAAUGAUUGGAGAGAAUUACGAGUCAACUUUGUGUUUUACGUUAUCUAUAUUUUUCAAAAACAUUUAUAUUUCUCAAAGUUUGACUUCAAUCUCAUUCUUAAUUGUACAUUCAACUGCUCGCUGAUGAUAAUACCUAGCCCUUUCUCACCAUUGUCCAAUCGAAUUUUAAAUGAAAAUCUAUUUAUUCUUUCAUCCACCUCCGCCCUUAUAGCAGAAUAGCAAUUAAAGCAACCCAAAAUACAAUGAAGUCGUUAAUGAACAAAAUCUGAAGCCAUAAUAGUUAGAGUGAUACCAAUACAAGAACAAUGAGAUAGUUGAUAUGAAGGAAAGCCUUAUGCUUACUUGGAAAGUGAGUUAGACGAUAUGAAGGAAUGACAAUGAUUACUUGAAGGUUGAGGAAUAUUUUUUGUAAAUGAUUGCCACGUGGUGUGACUAGCAACAAGCCAGUAUCCAAAUGAUUGGAGAGAAUUAUGAGUCAACUUUGUGCUUUACGUUAUCUAUAUUUUUCAAAAACAUUUAUAUUUCACAAAGUUUGACUUCAAUCUCAUUCUUAAUUGUACAUUCAACUGCUCGCUGAUUAUAAUACCUAGCCCUUUCUCACCAUUGUCCAAUCGAAUCUUAAAUGAAAAUCUAUUUACUCUGAUGAGGACAUCCAAUUUUAAUUAAUUUUAGCAAUUUUAAUUAUUUUAGUUGGAACUUAGGUUAUUUUAAUUUCAUGGACUUUUGUAUUGGGCUUGGCCCUAGGUUUGCAUUAUUUUUCCAGUAUUUAAACCUAUCUUACAUUGUUAUUUGAGUUAAUGAAUUUGAUGAAAUAAAAGAGUUGGCUUCAGCCGUUUCUCCUCUCUCCCCGCCUCUGCCUUCUUCUUCUCUUCUCCUCCCCUUCCCUUCUUGUUAUUUACUAAUUCAGUAAUCUCCCUACAUC
This 1244-nucleotide long non-coding RNA is filed under the name Olea europaea (common olive). Its description in RNAcentral is "long non-coding RNA (OEUR_LNC008337)". The record is from RNAcentral. Lineage: Eukaryota; Viridiplantae; Streptophyta; Magnoliopsida; Lamiales; Oleaceae.